RNAcentral lists this long non-coding RNA (369 nucleotides) under Musa acuminata (dwarf banana). Its description in RNAcentral is "long non-coding RNA (MACU_LNC005516)". The record is from RNAcentral. Lineage: Eukaryota; Viridiplantae; Streptophyta; Magnoliopsida; Zingiberales; Musaceae.
CCAGAAGUUCAAAGUUGGUGAUAAAGUUGGUGUUGGCUACAUGGUCGGCUCUUGUGGUUCUUGUGAAAGUUGCAGUGAGGAAUAUGAAAACCAUUGCUUCAAAAUGAUAACAACAUCCAAUGGUGUCUACCAUGAUGGGGCAACAACCUAUGGAGGAUUCUCAGAUAUGAUAGUUGUCAAUGAGCAUUUUGCAGUACAUAUUCCUGAUAACCUGCCCCUGGAAAAAACUGCACCAUUGUUGUGUGCCGGAGUUACAGUAUAUAGCCCAAUGAAACACUUUGGUCUCAAUGAGCCUGGAAAGCACUUAGGAGUCGUAGGGCUUGGUGGGCUUGGCCAUGUCGCUGUGAAGUUUGGCAAGGCUUAUGGUAU